Molecule: ribosomal RNA, 379 nt
Filed under: uncultured bacterium
Lineage: Bacteria
Description: bacterial SSU rRNA
Rfam family: Bacterial small subunit ribosomal RNA
Source: RNAcentral
AUUGAACGCUGGCGGCAUGCCUUACACAUGCAAGUCGAACGGUAACGCGGGGCAACCUGGCGACGAGUGGCGAACGGGUGAGUAAUAUAUCGGAACGUGCCAUAGAGUGGGGGAUAACUAGUCGAAAGACUAGCUAAUACCGCAUACGAUCUAAGGAUGAAAGUGGGGGAUCGCAAGACCUCACGCUCUUUGAGCGGCCGAUAUCUGAUUAGCUAGUUGGUAGGUAAAAGCCUACCAAGGCGACGAUCAGUAGCUGGUCUGAGAGGACGACAGCCACACUGGGACUGAGACACGGCCCAGACUCCUACGGGAGGCAGCAGUGGGGAAUUUUGGACAAAUGGGGGCAACCCUAGAUCCAGCAAAUGCCGCGUGAGCGAUG